UACGUAGGCAGCAAGCGUUGUUCGGAGUUACUGGGCGUAAAGAGUAUGUAGGCGGUUGCGUAAGUUCGGUGUGAAAUCUCCCGGCUUAACUGGGAGGGUGCGCCGAAAACUGCGUGGCUAGAGUGCGGGAGAGGAGAGCGGAAUUCCUGGUGUAGCGGUGAAAUGCGUAGAUAUCAGGAGGAACACCGGCGGUGUAGACGGCUCUCUGGACCGUUACUGACGCUGAGAUACGAAAGCGUGGGUAGCAAACAGG
Molecule: ribosomal RNA, 253 nt
Filed under: uncultured bacterium
Lineage: Bacteria
Description: partial 16S ribosomal RNA
Rfam family: Bacterial small subunit ribosomal RNA
Source: RNAcentral